UGUGAAAUCGAGUAGGUCGGGACACGUGAUAUCCUGACUGAACAUGGGGGGACCAUCCUCCAAGGCUAAAUACUCCUAACUGACCGAUAGUGAACCAGUACCGUGAGGGAAAGGCGAAAAGAACCCCUGUGAGGGGAGUGAAAUAGAUCCUGAAACCGUGUGCGUACAAGCAGUAGGAGCAGACUUGUUCUGUGACUGCGUACCUUUUGUAUAAUGGGUCAGCGACUUAUUGUCAGUAGCAAGGUUAACCGUUUAGGGGAGCCGUAGGGAAACCGAGUCUUAAUAGGGCGUCUAGUUGCUGGCAAUAGACCCGAAACCGAGCGAUCUAUCCAUGGCCAGGGUGAAGGUUAGGUAACACUGACUGGAGGCCCGAACCCACGUAUGUUGAAAAAUGCGGGGAUGAGCUGUGGAUCGGAGUGAAAGGCUAAUCAAGCUCGGAGAUAGCUGGUUCUCCCCGAAAACUAUUUAGGUAGUGCGUCAUGUCUCACCACUGGGGGUAGAGCACUGUUACGGCUAGGGGGUCAUCCCGACUUACCAACCCGUUGCAAACUCCGAAUACCAGUGAGUGCAAUCAUGGCAGACACACGGCGGGUGCUAACGUCCGUCGUGAAAAGGGCAACAACCCAGACCGCCAGCUAAGGUCCCAAAUGCUAGUUAAGUGGGAAACGAUGUGGGAAGGCUCAGACAGCUAGGAGGUUGGCUUAGAAGCAGCCACCCUUUAAAGAAAGCGUAAUAGCUCACUAGUCGAGUCGGCCUGCGCGGAAGAUGUAACGGGGCUAAAUUAGCAACCGAAGCUGCGGAUGCACUUAGUGCAUGGUAGGGGAGCGUUCUGUAAGCCGCUGAAGGUGAACUGUGAAGUUUGCUGGAGGUAUCAGAAGUGCGAAUGCUGACAUGAGUAACGACAAGGGGAGUGAAAAACUCCCCCGCCGGAAGAUCAAGGUUUCCUGUCCAACGCUAAUCGGGACAGGGUUAGUCGGCCCCUAAGGCGAGGCAGAAAUGCGUAGUCGAUGGGAAGCAGGUUAAUAUUCCUGCACUUUUUAUAACUGCGACGGAGGGACGGAGCAGGCUAGGCCAGCGCGGCGAUGGUUGUCCGCGUUUAAGCAAGUAGGCUGGUGACUUAGGUAAAUCCGGGUUGCUAAGGCUGAGAUGUGAUGCCGAGACUCUUUAUUGAGU
Molecule: ribosomal RNA, 1173 nt
Filed under: Pseudomaricurvus hydrocarbonicus
Lineage: Bacteria; Pseudomonadati; Pseudomonadota; Gammaproteobacteria; Cellvibrionales; Cellvibrionaceae
Description: partial 23S ribosomal RNA
Rfam family: Bacterial large subunit ribosomal RNA
Source: RNAcentral